UCCUGGAAACGGGUGGUAAUGCCGGAUGUGCCGGGCUCCUGCAUGGGGGUCCGGGAAAGCUCUGGCGGCGUGGGAUGGGGUCGCGUCCUAUCAGCUUGUUGGCGGGGUGAGGGCCCACCAAGGCUUCGACGGGUAGCCGGCCUGAGAGGGCGACCGGCCACAUUGGGACUGAGAUACGGCCCAGACUCCUACGGGAGGCAGCAGUGGGGAAUAUUGCACAAUGGGCGCAAGCCUGAUGCAGCGACGCCGCGUGCGGGAUGGAGGCCUUCGGGUUGUAAACCGCUUUUGUUUGGGAGCAAGCCCUUCGGGGUGAGUGUACCUUUCGAAUAAGCACCGGCUAACUACGUGCCAGCAGCCGCGGUAAUACGUAGGGUGCGAGCGUUAUCCGGAUUUAUUGGGCGUAAAGGGCUCGUAGGCGGUUCGUCGCGUCCGGUGUGAAAGUCCAUCGCCUAACGGUGGAUCUGCGCCGGGUACGGGCGGGCUGGAGUGCGGUAGGGGAGACUGGAAUUCCCGGUGUAACGGUGGAAUGUGUAGAUAUCGGGAAGAACACCA
This 552-nucleotide ribosomal RNA is filed under the name uncultured Bifidobacterium sp. RNAcentral describes it as "bacterial SSU rRNA". It matches the Rfam family "Bacterial small subunit ribosomal RNA", at positions 148 to 711 of the family's 1533-position model. The record is from RNAcentral. Lineage: Bacteria; Bacillati; Actinomycetota; Actinomycetes; Bifidobacteriales; Bifidobacteriaceae.